AUGGACGCGGAGGGGGAUAGGGGAGGGGGUGUGGGGGUAGGGGUGGGGGUGUGGGGGUGUGGGGUGGGGUGGGGAGGGGGGGGGGGGGGGGGGGGGGGCAAAAAAGCUGUAGGUAUAUUACUACUCACAGAUGUAAGUGAUCACUUGCCUGUCUUUUCAGUGCUUGAAAUGAACAAUCAACUUCAUUUUCAAGAGGAAAAGCAGAUUGAUUACAGUGGUAGAAUAAAAACACCAGAACAGAUUGCAGCUUUUAAAACAGACUUAGAAAAUUAUGACUGGCAAAGAGUUUAUGUGGAAGACACUAAUGAUGCAUAUAAUGCAUUUUUAGAUAUAUUUUUGUCAAUCUAUGAUAGCCAUUGUCCCAUUAAAAAGUUUUCUGAAAAGUAUAAAAAGAAAAAACCAUGGUUUUCACAAGGUCUGGAAAGAGCCUGUAAAAGGAAAAAUAGGUUAUACAGGAUUUUUUUGACACAUAGAACAAAGGAAAAUGAAGAUAAAUAUAAGAAAUAUCGAAACAAAUUAACAUCUAUUAUGCGAUAUGAAAAGAAAAGAUAUUAUGAACAGCUGCUUCAAAAACAUAAAAAUAAUAUUAAGGCUACCUGGAGUGCAUUAAAUAGGAUAAUAAAAAAUCAACAUAAUAUAUGUUCUCCAACACGUAUUGUAAAAAGAGGUAAUGUAGUGAUUGAGAAUAUUGAGAGCAUAGUUAAUGAAUUUAAUGAUUACUUUGUUAAUGUAGGUCCCAACUUAGCAAAAGAGAUUUCUGUACCAGGAGGAAAUGAUGAUAAAGUAGAUUCUACUUCUUGUAAAUGUAACUCAGUGUUUCUUGGUGGAGUCUGUGAGAGUGACAUUGUAGAAGUGGUGAGCAAAUUCAAGAGUAAAAAAUCCAUGGACUGUGACGACCUUGACAUGUCGCUAAUUAAAGAAGUUCUUCAUAGUGUCCUUCAGCCGUUAACAUAUAUUUGUAACAAAUCAUUUCAAACUGGAAUUUUUCCAGAUAAAAUGAAAAUUGCCAAAGUGAUACCAUUAUAUAAAAUUGGUGAUAAACAGAUUGUGUCAAAUUAUAGACCGGUAUCUUUACUGCCUCAAUUUUCGAAGAUUUUUGAGAAACUAUUUGCAAACAAACUAGAUUCUUUUAUUGAUAAAUAUGAUUUAUUGAAUGAUCAUCAGUAUUGGUUCAGAAGAAAUCGUUCGACAUCUCUAGCUGUAAUGGAAUUUAUUGAAAAUAUUGCAACGGCUGUGGAUGAAAAACAGUUUGGAACAGGUGUGUUCACUGAUUUACGUAAAGCCUUCGAUACGAUAGAUCAUUCUUUACUUUUACAGAAAUGUGAAAGGUAUGGUUUAAGAGGUGUUGUACAAUCUUGGUUAAAUAGUUAUUUGAAUAAUAGGUUCCAAUAUGUGAGUAUUAAUAACAUGAAAUCUAAACUUAGAAAAGAAACUUGUGGAGUUCCGCAAGGAUCUAUAAGAUAA
Molecule: long non-coding RNA, 1464 nt
Filed under: Oreochromis niloticus (Nile tilapia)
Lineage: Eukaryota; Metazoa; Chordata; Actinopteri; Cichliformes; Cichlidae
Description: lncRNA (ENSONIG00000033906.1)
Source: RNAcentral